UACGAAGGGGGCUAGCGUUGCUCGGAAUCACUGGGCGUAAAGCGCACGUAGGCCGCUUUCUAAGUCAGGGGUGAAAUCCUGGAGCUCAACUCCAGAACUGCCCUUGAUACUGGAGGGCUCGAGUCCGGGAGAGGUGAGUGGAACUGCGAGUGUAGAGGUGAAAUUCGUAGAUAUUCGCAAGAACACCAGUGGCGAAGGCGGCUCACUGGCCCGGUACUGACGCUGAGGUGCGAAAGCGUGGGGAGCAAACAGG
RNAcentral lists this ribosomal RNA (253 nucleotides) under uncultured bacterium. Its description in RNAcentral is "partial 16S ribosomal RNA". It matches the Rfam family "Bacterial small subunit ribosomal RNA", at positions 524 to 776 of the family's 1533-position model. The record is from RNAcentral.